UACGUAGGUGGCAAGCGUUGUCCGGAAUUAUUGGGCGUAAAGCGCGCGCAGGCGGUCCUUUAAGUCUGAUGUGAAAGCCCACGGCUCAACCGUGGAGGGUCAUUGGAAACUGGGGGACUUGAGUGCAGAAGAGGAAAGCGGAAUUCCACGUGUAGCGGUGAAAUGCGUAGAUAUCGGAAGGAACACCAGUGGCGAAAGCGGCUUCCUGGUCCGACACCGACGUUCAGGCACGAAAGCGUGGGGAGCAAACAGG
This 253-nucleotide ribosomal RNA is filed under the name uncultured bacterium. RNAcentral describes it as "partial 16S ribosomal RNA". It matches the Rfam family "Bacterial small subunit ribosomal RNA", at positions 524 to 776 of the family's 1533-position model. The record is from RNAcentral.